This is a non-coding RNA of Acanthosepion pharaonis, 97 nucleotides long. The record is from the annotation of a GenBank genome assembly. Lineage: Eukaryota; Metazoa; Mollusca; Cephalopoda; Sepiida; Sepiidae.
GUUGAAAUACCGGUUCUCGUUCGACCAGCGAAGUUAAAAAAGGUCGGGCCUGGUGAGUACUUAAAUGGGUGACCACUUAGGAAUCCCAGGUGCUGUA